GGGCCCGCACAAGCAGCGGAGCAUGUGGUUUAAUUCGACGCAACGCGAAGAACCUUACCAGGUCUUGACAUCGAGGUAAAGCGGUGGAGACACCGUGUGGAUUCGUCCGACCGAAGACAGGUGGUGCAUGGUUGUCGUCAGCUCGUGUCGUGAGAUGUUGGGUUAAGUCCCGCAACGAGCGCAACCCUUAUUAUCAGUUACUAACGGGGAAAGCCGAGGACUCUGAUGAGACUGCCGGGGACAACUCGGAGGAAGGUGGGGACGACGUCAAAUCAUCAUGCCCCUUAUGACCUGGGCUACACACGUGCUACAAUGGUGGCAACAAAGAGGAGCGAGCCCGUAAGGGGGAGCGGAUCUCAAAAAAGCCAUCUCAGUUCGGAUUGUGGGCUGCAACCCGCCCACAUGAAGUUGGAGUUGCUAGUAAUCGCGAAUCAGCAUGUCGCGGUGAAUACGUUCCCGGGCCUU
RNAcentral lists this ribosomal RNA (465 nucleotides) under uncultured bacterium. RNAcentral describes it as "bacterial SSU rRNA". It matches the Rfam family "Bacterial small subunit ribosomal RNA", at positions 917 to 1382 of the family's 1533-position model. The record is from RNAcentral.